UUACUUAGUGGCGGACGGGUGAGUAACACGUGAGCAACCUGCCUGUAAGAGGGGGAUAACGUCGGGAAACUGACGCUAAUACCGCAUAACAUCAGAGAUUGGCAUCAAUUUUUGAUCAAAGGAGCAAUCCGCUUAUAGAUGGGCUCGCGUCCGAUUAGCUAGAUGGUGAGAUAACAGCCCACCAUGGCGACGAUCGGUAGCCGGACUGAGAGGUUGAUCGGCCACAUUGGGACUGAGACACGGCCCAGACUCCUACGGGAGGCAGCAGUGGGGGAUAUUGCACAAUGGGGGAAACCCUGAUGCAGCGACGCCGCGUGAGGGAAGAAGGUUUUCGGAUUGUAAACCUCUGUCUUCAGGGACGAUAAUGACGGUACCUGAGGAGGAAGCCACGGCUAACUACGUGCCAGCAGCCGCGGUAAUACGUAGGUGGCAAGCGUUGUCCGGAAUUACUGGGUGUAAAGGGAGCGUAGGCGGGUAUGCAAGUUGAAUGUGAAAUCUAUCGGCUCAACCGAUAGGCUGCGUUCAAAACUGUAUAUCUUGAGUGAAGUAGAGGUAGGCGGAAUUCCUGGUGUAGCGGUGAAAUGCGUAGAUAUCAGGAGGAACACCGGUGGCGAAGGCGGCCUGCUGGGCUUUUACUGACGCUGAGGCUCGAAAGCAUGGGUAGCAAACAGGAUUAGAUACCCUGGUAGUCCAUGCUGUAAACGAUGAUUACUAGGUGUGGGUGGACUGACCCCAUCCGUGCCGGAGUUAACACAAUAAGUAAUCCACCUGGGGAGUACGAUCGCAAGAUUGAAACUCAAAGGAAUUGACGGGGGCCCGCACAAGCAGUGGAGUAUGUGGUUUAAUUCGAAGCAACGCGAAGAACCUUACCAGGUCUUGACAUCGUGCGCAUAGUCUAGAGAUAGAUGAAGUCCCUUUUGGGACGCAUAGACAGGUGGUGCAUGGUUGUCGUCAGCUCGUGUCGUGAGAUGUCGGGUCAAGUCCCUCAACGAACGCAACCCUUACGAUUAGUUGCUACGCAAGAGCACUCUAAUAGGACUGCCGUUGACAAAACGGAGGAAGGUGGGGAUGACGUCGAAUCAUCAUGCCCCUUAUGACCUGGGCUACACACGUACUACAAUGGUGAUAAACAGAGGGAAGCAAAACGGCGACGUGGAGCAAAUCCCUAAAAGUCAUCUCAGUUCGGAUCGCAGGCUGCAACCCGCCUGCGUGAAGUUGGAAUUGCUAGUAAUCGCAGAUCAGAAUGCUGCGGUGAAUACGUUCCCGGGCCUUGCACUCACCGCCCGUCA
Molecule: ribosomal RNA, 1289 nt
Filed under: uncultured bacterium
Lineage: Bacteria
Description: bacterial SSU rRNA
Rfam family: Bacterial small subunit ribosomal RNA
Source: RNAcentral